Molecule: long non-coding RNA, 250 nt
Filed under: Elaeis guineensis (African oil palm)
Lineage: Eukaryota; Viridiplantae; Streptophyta; Magnoliopsida; Arecales; Arecaceae
Description: long non-coding RNA (EGUI_LNC037152)
Source: RNAcentral
ACUAGAAUCUACACAGACUGUACAUGAGUCUCACUAUAGCCUGUCAAUCCAUGUACAUCUAUGAAUAGGUUCUUAACCAAUUGUUUCUCUAAAUAACUUCUAGUAAUUAAUUUUGUCCCAAAUUUUUUCAGUAGACUAGGGCCUCCACUAAAAAUCUUGAUUAGGUCCAACCAUUAAUAUGAUCAUACUCAGCCCAUCUAACUAACAAAUGAUCAGACCCAACUAUAGUCAAUCAACUUAACUACCCAUC